UACGGAGGAUGCGAGCGUUGUCCGGAUUUAUUGGGUUUAAAGGGUGCGUAGGCGGAUCGUUAAGUCAGUGGUCAAAUUGAGGGGCUCAACCCCUUCCCGCCAUUGAAACUGGCGAUCUUGAGUGGAAGAGAAGUAUGCGGAAUUCCUAGUGUAGCGGUGAAAUGCGUAGAUAUUAGGAAGAACACCAGUGGCGAAGGCGGCUUUCUGGACUGAAACUGACGCUGAGGCACGAAAGCGUGGGGAGCGAACAGG
RNAcentral lists this ribosomal RNA (252 nucleotides) under uncultured bacterium. RNAcentral's name for it is "partial 16S ribosomal RNA". It matches the Rfam family "Bacterial small subunit ribosomal RNA", at positions 524 to 776 of the family's 1533-position model. The record is from RNAcentral.